GCAGCAGGCGCGUAAAUUACCCAAUCCUAAUUCAGGGAGGUAGUGACAAGAAAUAACAACUCGGGCUUCUUUUGAGGUUACGAGAUUGCAAUGAGAACAAUUUAAACCACUUAUCGAGUAACAAUUGGAGGGCAAGUCUGGUGCCAGCAGCCGCGGUAAUUCCAGCUCCAAUAGCGUAUAUUAAAGUUGUUGCAGUUAAAAAGCUCGUAGUUGAAUUUCUGGCCGGUGCUGUCCUUGACUCUAGCAGUCAGUUCAGGACUUGGUCAUCCGUAUGGGAAGCUAGCUCGGCCUUCACUGGUCGGUUAGUGGAUCAUACACUUUACUUUGAAAAAAUUAGAGUGUUUCAGGCAGGCAAUUGCUUGGAUACUGCAGCAUGGAAUAAUGGAAUAGGACUUUGACCUAUUUGUUGGUUUCUUCGAGGUCAAAGUAAUGAUUAAUAGGGACAGUUGGGGGCAUUCGUAUUUAAUUGUCAGAGGUGAAAUUCUUGGAUUUAUUAAAGACGAACUUAUGCG
This 512-nucleotide ribosomal RNA is filed under the name Kreyellidae sp. RNAcentral's name for it is "SSU rRNA". It matches the Rfam family "Eukaryotic small subunit ribosomal RNA", at positions 425 to 947 of the family's 1831-position model. The record is from RNAcentral. Lineage: Eukaryota; Ciliophora; Colpodea; Bryometopida; Kreyellidae.